RNAcentral lists this ribosomal RNA (253 nucleotides) under uncultured bacterium. RNAcentral's name for it is "partial 16S ribosomal RNA". It matches the Rfam family "Bacterial small subunit ribosomal RNA", at positions 524 to 776 of the family's 1533-position model. The record is from RNAcentral.
UACGGAGGGUGCAAGCGUUGUUCGGAAUCACUGGGCGUAAAGGGCGUGUAGGCGGUCCGCUAAGUCUGAUGUGAAAGCCCGGGGCUCACCCCCGGAAGGGCAUUGGAAACUGGCGGACUCGAGUCUCGGAGAGGAAGGUGGAAUUCCUGGUGUAGCGGUGAAAUGCGUAGAUAUCAGGAGGAAUACCGGUGGCGAAGGCGGCCUUCUGGACGAUGACUGACACUCAGGGACGAAAGCUAGGGGAGCGAAUGGG